Long non-coding RNA from Eptesicus fuscus (big brown bat), 318 nucleotides. RefSeq lists it as uncharacterized. The record is from RefSeq and is a predicted model, not a curated record. The transcript has 3 exons. Lineage: Eukaryota; Metazoa; Chordata; Mammalia; Chiroptera; Vespertilionidae.
AGGCCUUUAGAUGGAGAGGAAAGGAGAGGAAGAGAGAGAUAGAAACAUCAAUGAUGAGAAGGAAUCACCGAUCGGCCGCCUCCUGCACGCUGGACCGAGACUACAACCUAGGCAUGUGCCCCCAACCAGAAUCGAACCAGGGACCCUUGAGUCCCCAGGCCGACACUCCAUCCACUGAGCCAUACUGGCUAGGGAGAGAUUCUAUGCCCUCUGACUGGGAAUCCUCCGUGGAGCCCGAGGCUGCAGUGUGUCCCCUCUCCAGCCGCUCCGCUCUCCUCCAGAGGCCAUCCUCAAAAACCUGGGGACCGAGGAGCUCAA